AUACUUAAGUAGUAAUAGGUAUAGUCUUGAAACUUAAAGAAAUUGGCGGUAUUUUAAUCUUUUCAGAGGAACCUGUUCUAUAAUCGAUAUUCCACGUUUAAUUUUACUAAAAUAUUUGUAUACCGUUGUCGAAAGAAUCAAUUUUCUAAUAUUUUAAUUAAAAUUAAUGUCAAAUCAAGGUGCAGUUUAUAAUUUAGAAGAAAUGGGUUACAAUAAAAUUAUUUAGAAUUUUAAUGAAGGUGGAUUUGAUUGUAAAUUAGUUAUAAAAAAUCUAAUUGAUAGAAGUUCUAAAAUAUGU
RNAcentral lists this ribosomal RNA (298 nucleotides) under Rhopalopsyllus australis ssp. F330. RNAcentral's name for it is "partial 12S ribosomal RNA". The record is from RNAcentral. Lineage: Eukaryota; Metazoa; Arthropoda; Insecta; Siphonaptera; Rhopalopsyllidae.